RNAcentral lists this transfer RNA (76 nucleotides) under Anaerostipes hadrus. RNAcentral describes it as "tRNA-Val". It matches the Rfam family "tRNA". Rfam says of the family: Transfer RNA (tRNA) molecules are approximately 80 nucleotides in length. Their secondary structure includes four short double-helical elements and three loops (D, anti-codon, and T loops). Further hydrogen bonds mediate the characteristic L-shaped molecular structure. tRNAs have two regions of fundamental functional importance: the anti-codon, which is responsible for specific mRNA codon recognition, and the 3' end, to which the tRNAs corresponding amino acid is attached (by aminoacyl-tRNA synthetases). tRNAs cope with the degeneracy of the genetic code in two manners: having more than one tRNA (with a specific anti-codon) for a particular amino acid; and 'wobble' base-pairing, i.e. permitting non-standard base-pairing at the 3rd anti-codon position. The record is from RNAcentral. Lineage: Bacteria; Bacillati; Bacillota; Clostridia; Lachnospirales; Lachnospiraceae.
GGGAUCAUAGCUCAGCUGGGAGAGCAUCUGCCUUACAAGCAGAGGGUCAGUGGUUCGAGCCCGUUAACUUCCACCA